CAGCGCUCUAGGGCGGCGUAAAUGCUUACGAGGCGGGCACAGCGUUAGUUUCCGACGGCGGGGCGGGCAGAGCGCCUGAGGGGCUGAGAAACCCUUUGGCACUCACCACCCCUCCCUCCUCCCUCGUCGACCUUUCCCCUACACCACCUGUAGCCCCCAUUCCAGGGAACGUUAACCCACCUUACAGCGCGUCCCACAAGCUUCUGUAAUGUCAAGUUUAAGCGGAUAAGCCCCGCAUAGAACAAUAAAUAGGUAAAGCAGCCUGGGCCCUGGAGAACUGUGUCUCCGCUUAAUCUGGAGAGUACAACACAAUCGGGGAUACAGCAAACGCGUGCACGUCUUCGGUGAAACGCGAGCUAAAGGAACGCAAGCCAAACUCAGGGCACAGACUGAGGUCAACACAACCAGAACACGGCAAAGAGCCCGGAGAUGGAGCUUCAGGAGAAGCCCUCUGCCUCUGGCUACAAGACUGGGAAAAGGAACCGAUGGCCUUUGAAAAUCUGCCCCCAGUACUCUGCAACUUUUCUCUCCCUUUCUCCAUUCUAUCCUGGCCUAGUCUCCGAUUAACCUAGUGGUGGUGGCGUGGUGGUAGUUGCAGUGGCAGCUGCAGUUAACUGGAACCAGCAAGACUUGAAAACUCGGAAAGUGGAAAUCUUCUCUGUUCUAUGGAGUUGCAGUUCCAAGAGGGAUCCAUGCACAAUACCUGGAAGUGGAGUCACCAUGUUGCUACUCUUAGGACCAGAUACAUGCUGUGGAAGUGGAGCUGGAAGCUCAAAGAAGCCUCACUGCUUUAUUUCCUUGAGCAACUGCACCCUUUCUGGAUUGCUUCUCUUCAAACAUCUUGUCAUAUGAAAUAAAUAAAAUCUCAUUUCAUCACA
This is a long non-coding RNA of Canis lupus familiaris (dog), 878 nucleotides long. RefSeq lists it as uncharacterized. NCBI's taxonomy places the organism in Eukaryota, Metazoa, Chordata, Mammalia, Carnivora, Canidae. The record is from RefSeq and is a predicted model, not a curated record. The transcript is spliced from 3 exons.